RNAcentral lists this ribosomal RNA (107 nucleotides) under Oryctolagus cuniculus (rabbit). The record is from RNAcentral. Lineage: Eukaryota; Metazoa; Chordata; Mammalia; Lagomorpha; Leporidae.
GUCUAUGGCCAUACUACCCUGAACACGCCCGAUCUUGUCUGAUCUUGGAAGCUAAGCAGGGUCGGGCCUGGUUAGUAGUUGGAUGGGAAGAGUAAGUAUUGUUGUCA